AUUGAACGUUGGCGGCACGCUUUAUACAUGCAAGUCGAACGAGAAAGCACUUCGGUGCGAGUACAGUGGCGGACGGGUGAGUAACGCGUAGGAAUCUACCUAGUAGUGGGGGACAACUCGGGGAAACUCGAGCUAAUACCGCAUACACUCUACGGAGAAAAGCAGGGGACCUUCGGGCCUUGCGCUAUUAGAGGAGCCUGCGUUGGAUUAGCUAGUUGGUGGGGUAAAGGCCUACCAAGGCGACGAUCCAUAGCUGGUCUGAGAGGACGAUCAGCCACACUGGAACUGAGACACGGUCCAG
RNAcentral lists this ribosomal RNA (301 nucleotides) under uncultured bacterium. Its description in RNAcentral is "bacterial SSU rRNA". It matches the Rfam family "Bacterial small subunit ribosomal RNA", at positions 30 to 334 of the family's 1533-position model. The record is from RNAcentral.